AUGGAGCCGACCUUGAAAUACCACCCUUUAAUGUUUGAUGUUCUAACGUUGACCCGUAAUCCGGGUUGCGGACAGUGUCUGGUGGGUAGUUUGACUGGGGCGGUCUCCUCCUAAAGAGUAACGGAGGAGCACGAAGGUUGGCUAAUCCUGGUCGGACAUCAGGAGGUUAGUGCAAUGGCAUAAGCCAGCUUGACUGCGAGCGUGACGGCGCGAGCAGGUGCGAAAGCAGGUCAUAGUGAUCCGGUGGUUCUGAAUGGAAGGGCCAUCGCUCAACGGAUAAAAGGUACUCCGGGGAUAACAGGCUGAUACCGCCCAAGAGUUCAUAUCGACGGCGGUGUUUGGCACCUCGAUGUCGGCUCAUCACAUCCUGGGGCUGAAGUAGGUCCCAAGGGUAUGGCUGUUCGCCAUUUAAAGUGGUACGCGAGCUGGGUUUAGAACGUCGUGAGACAGUUCGGUCCCUAUCUGCCGUGGGCGCUGGAGAACUGAGGGGGGCUGCUCCUAGUACGAGAGGACCGGAGUGGACGCAUCACUGGUGUUCGGGUUGUCAUGCCAAUGGCACUGCCCGGUAGCUAAAUGCGGAAGAGAUAAGUGCUGA
RNAcentral lists this ribosomal RNA (595 nucleotides) under Escherichia coli. RNAcentral's name for it is "partial 23S ribosomal RNA". It matches the Rfam family "Bacterial large subunit ribosomal RNA", at positions 2180 to 2774 of the family's 2925-position model. Lineage: Bacteria; Pseudomonadati; Pseudomonadota; Gammaproteobacteria; Enterobacterales; Enterobacteriaceae. The record is from RNAcentral.